GGUUCCUUGAAGAGGGUCCUUAAACAGCUGGAAGAAGAGAAGAAAAGUCUCCAGAAUCAGCUAAAAGACUAUGAACUUAGACUGGAACCUUAGAAGAAGCAAAGGCUUACCACAAAGUUAAUGAUGAGCGGCUCACGGACCUCUCAGAGAUCUUACAGCAGUGAAACUGCGAACUUCUGGAGGAAGAAAGAAAAUAAAAGCAGAUUUUAUUACUGAACAUGCUAGCGAGAGAAGUGCCUAUGUUCAGCUCCCUGUAAAAACACUUAAAUAUUUGUAAAACACCAUUUGAAGUGGAGUAUAUGCAGUGGCAUGUUGCAUAGUGAGGCAUUGGGGUCUAGGAUUUUGCCAUCAACACUCAAGGUCUCAGCUAAACUUAAAAUUAUUGAAAGGCAACAAAAAGAUGCUGUGACUGGCAAAGGAGAAAAACGGAUACUGAGUAAUGAACAGGAAGAGAAACAAAGGGAUGUUGCACAGGAGCAGAGAGGCAGGCUUCUUGGUCAGGAGAAUGACCCUUCCAGCUUGGGGAAUCACCAUUCUUUUCCUGGAGAUUUUUUUUACAUUCCCAGUGAUUUCUUAGAAGAUCAAGAUGGAGCUCUAGCUGGUUUCAUGUAGAUGGUAGGAAGACACAGUGUUCCAGGAAACCCGAAGAUGGUUUAUCCUCAAAAAUGAUCAAUUAAAACUACGGUAGGAGUGAACCAGCUUUCACAACUAAAGCAUUGAAGUAAUAUUAAUGUCAAGAACUUCCAGUCACUUUUUAAAAAAUUUAAUUUGACUGAAAUUUUCUAAAUUGAAAAUGAAAGUAUUUGUGUCUUAUUGCAAUGCCAGACACAGAUUGGAAUGUCUUCUUGGCUGCCUUAGUGUAACUGUUCCUCUGCCUAAUGGAAUUUCUCUUCUAGUUGCCAUCUUUGUACUGGUGAUCUCUGACCCUUUCCAUUCUGCUUCAUAUCAGUGAUUCUGAGUGUGAGGGUGUUGGAAGUCAUAGAGAAUAUUUAAUGUCUUUAUACACUGUGUAGAUCCUUGAACUAUACAGCCAUGGAAAACAAACAAGCCUCUAGCAUGUUUGACCUCUCAGCCAAGAAGAAAAAGGCAGGCUGAUGCAACCUGAACUAUUGUCUAAAUAUAACUUUAUUUAAAAGCUUUAUUGCCACAGAUCCUGUGUUGACUACCACUUUCUGUCUGCAUGGUUUGGAAGCAAAGCACCAUUUCCAGCUGCUUUAAUCACUGGUAAUGGAUGGAAAUGACAAAAAAUUGAGCACUUUUUAUUAAGGAAUCUUCAAAGCCUAUCUUGUGUUCAUCAAGUGUUGUUUCUUUUAAACACUAUAUAUGAAAAAACACAUAUCCUGAUAUUAGUAUGUUGCUCUUUGAAAUUUGAACUCUCAGAUGAACCCUUGUAUCCACAGUCUCGGGGUCAUAAAAAUCUCUGUCUUCUUCUGUGGCACUGAUCCUUGUACUUUCAGGGUCCACAGUAGUGCCAGUUCUAAAAGUCAUCUCUUCAGUGAAAGUAGAACUCCUUUGUCUUUUUGUUCUUAAGCAUGCAAUUAUUGAUGUGGUUUUAUUACCUACAUUUUAGUCAUUAAAUAUGGCAAAAUUUUUUCAAGUGGCAAUGGGAAAAUGUUUUGGUAAUGAAGCCUCAGUCCUCUGGGUUACAUCUUAAAAGCUCUUGGCAGAGCAAAUGUGGUUGCUUGACUGCUCUUUAUUAUUUUAAGAGCAUUCCUAACUCUUUGCAAUAAAGUUUUUUUGCCUCUUUUAAGAGCA
Long non-coding RNA from Cyanistes caeruleus (blue tit), 1755 nucleotides. The record is from Ensembl. NCBI's taxonomy places the organism in Eukaryota, Metazoa, Chordata, Aves, Passeriformes, Paridae.